GUCGAUGUGACAUUUUGAGAACACUUUAAAAGAAAAGAGCGAGACCUUUAUUUGAUUUUACUGGCAGUAGGGCGACAGAUAACUACGUUAUUUUAAAGAUCGGUUAAGACAACACCGCCACAGUCUCUGGUUGUGAUAUAUAAGGUCACCAUGAAAGUAGUACUGUUGAUGUUUUUAGUUGCUGUAACCAAUGUCGCCAGCAAUAAUGAAGAGACCGAGUCGGAUUUAUUCGGUCUACCUGUGUCGGCAAACACCCAGUAUUACAACUUACAUCAAAUAGCUCAUCCAAUCUAUAACUACCAAAACUCAAGAAACCGAUAUAACCCCCAUCAAACCCCAAGAAACCGAUAUAACCCCUAUCAAAUAGCACAACGCCAGCAAUACGUCUUCAGUACCCAGUUUAAUCCCCUGAGGGUUGUCAGAAACUAUAAUAGUAUUCAAAAGAGGAGAAGAAGAUAUAACCCAUAUCAAAUAGCACGACCUCGAUCUGGAUGGUUGUGGUGAAUAUUAAAUUAGAACUGGAUCGUUAUAAACCUGGGGCCUGUUUCACAAAUUUUAACUAACGUAAAAUCCAAAUUUUAGUAAUUUGAUUGGAUAAUAUUAGAUUGGUUUUAGUGCUUAACCAAUCAAAAUUGAAGUAUCUACUAAAAUUUGGAUUUUAUCUUUAGUUAAAGAUUUCGAGAAACGGGGCCCAGCUUUAUAUUCAGUACAUACACUGUGAAACUGAUACCGUUCACAUGUGAACCAGGGUAUUUUACUAAUGAAAUGUUUUGUUAUUAAGUCAUACAAGUUAGUAAGUAUAAAAGAGUGGUUAAAGUUAUACAGGACUAUGAGUAAUUAUAAUCAGUCAUGUAGCUAUCUGUAAAAGAUACCAUUUCUAGUGUGAAAGUGAGACUUUAUCUAAUAUACUAUUAAAUGAAUAGACAACCAAUAGUGGUGGAGCACCUUGCUGUCAUAGUAACUUUACGUAAUUACUACCGUUUGGAUACUAAUAUGUUGACCAGGACAAUUUAGACCAUUAGUAAAAACCAUUUACAGUAAUGGCAGUAUAUUUUAUUGUCAAAUGUUUGUAGAUCAACAUUAUUGGCCCCAUCCCGGUCAAAUCAGAAUACUUUAGCUAUUUAAUAUUCAUUUAGUGGCAUUUAGUAACUGGAUAGUUUAAUAAACUUUAACAUAUAUUUAUGGAAAACA
Long non-coding RNA from Patella vulgata (common limpet), 1191 nucleotides. RefSeq lists it as uncharacterized. NCBI's taxonomy places the organism in Eukaryota, Metazoa, Mollusca, Gastropoda, Patellidae. The record is from RefSeq and is a predicted model, not a curated record. The transcript has 3 exons.